GAUGAACGCUGGCGGCGUGCCUAAUACAUGCAAGUCGAGCGAACAGAUAAGGAGCUUGCUCCUUUGACGUUAGCGGCGGACGGGUGAGUAACACGUGGGUAACCUACCUAUAAGACUGGGAUAACUUCGGGAAACCGGAGCUAAUACCGGAUAACAUUUGGAACCGCAUGGUUCUAAAGUGAAAGAUGGUUUUGCUAUCACUUAUAGAUGGACCCGCGCCGUAUUAGCUAGUUGGUAAGGUAACGGCUUACCAAGGCGACGAUACGUAGCCGACCUGAGAGGGUGAUCGGCCACACUGGAACUGAGACACGGUCCAGACUCCUACGGAAGGCAGCAGUAGGGAAUCUUCCGCAAUAGGCGAAAGCCUGACGGAGCAACGCCGCGUGAGUGAUGAAGGGUUUCGGCUCGUAAAACUCUGUUAUUAGGGAAGAACAAAUGUGUAAGUAACUGUGCACGUCUUGACGGUACCUAAUCAGAAAGCCACGGCUAACUACGUG
RNAcentral lists this ribosomal RNA (497 nucleotides) under uncultured bacterium. RNAcentral describes it as "partial 16S ribosomal RNA". It matches the Rfam family "Bacterial small subunit ribosomal RNA", at positions 28 to 507 of the family's 1533-position model. The record is from RNAcentral.